Molecule: long non-coding RNA, 593 nt
Organism: Aethalodelphis obliquidens (Pacific white-sided dolphin)
Lineage: Eukaryota; Metazoa; Chordata; Mammalia; Artiodactyla; Delphinidae
Exons: 4
Source: RefSeq, a predicted model, not a curated record
UGCCAGCCCCUGGAUGCCAGGUGUUGUACUGUACUACUGUACUUUUCAAGAGUGGCUGCACCAUGUUGCACUUCCAUCAGCCAUGAAUGAGCGUUCCUGUUGCUCCACAUCCUCACCAGCAUUUGGUGUUGUCAGUGUUCUGGAUUUGGACACUUUUAACAGGUCCUUUUGCCCCUGAGAUUUCUCUGGAUGCUCUACGAUUGGAGGUGGUUGGGGACAACUUGGAUAUUAGAAAUUACAGAGAAACUUCAUCACAAGAAAUUUGUGGCAACAUCUCUGAUACGUGGUAAUCAAGACAACUGGGUUUCACUGAUUCUAAUCUACUGUGGAAUGGCUACAACUGGACAGCAAAUGAGAAUAAAGGGAAAAGAUGGACCCACCCCUGAAUUGCUGAAAGAUGAAGAACUUCUGUAUCUCUUGCUAUAGCAUCAGAAUCACUUGCCAGCUCGUUAGAAAUGUGGAUUUUUGAGACUCAUCCCAGAUCGAAUGAAUCAGAACCUUUGUGGGCAGAGCCCCAAAGUCUACAUUUUAAACAAGAUCCUCAGUACGCGGGCCUCUCACUGCUGUGGCCUCCCCCAUUGCGGAGCACAGGC